This 1354-nucleotide ribosomal RNA is filed under the name uncultured bacterium. RNAcentral describes it as "bacterial SSU rRNA". It matches the Rfam family "Bacterial small subunit ribosomal RNA". The record is from RNAcentral.
GAAUUCGAUUAGAGUUUGAUCAUGGCUCAGAACGUACGCUGGCGGCACGCCUAACACAUGCAAGUCGAACGAAGUAGCAAUACUUAGUGGCAGACGGGUGAGUAACAUGUAGGUAUCUGCCCUUUGGCCUGGAAUAACACGAGGAAACUUGUGCUAAUACCGGAUAAGUCUUUACAGAGAAAGCUUUAUGCACCAUUGGAUGAGCCUGCACUUGAUUAGUUUGUUGGUGGGGUAAUGGCCUACCAAGACUGUGAUCAAUAGCUGAUUUGAGAGGAUGAUCAGCCACAUUGGGACUGAGACACGGCCCAAACUCCUACGGGAGGCAGCAGUGGGGAAUCUUGCACAAUGGAGGAAACUCUGAUGCAGCGAUGCCGCGUGAGUGAAGAAGGCCUUUGGGUUGUAAAGCUCUUUCGUCGGGGAAGAAAAUGACUGUACCCGAAUAAGAAGGUCCGGCUAACUUCGUGCCAGCAGCCGCGGUAAUACGAAGGGACCUAGCGUAGUUCGGAAUUACUGGGCUUAAAGAGUUCGUAGGUGGUUGAAAAAGUUGGUGGUGAAAUCCCAGAGCUUAACUCUGGAACUGCCAUCAAAACUUUUCAGCUAGAGUAUGAUAGAGGAAAGCAGAAUUUCUAGUGUAGAGGUGAAAUUCGUAGAUAUUAGAAAGAAUACCAAUUGCGAAGGCAGCUUUCUGGAUCAUAACUGACACUGAGGAACGAAAGCAUGGGUAGCGAAGAGGAUUAGAUACCCUCGUAGUCCAUGCCGUAAACGAUGUGUGUUAGACGUUGGAAAUUUAUUUUCAGUGUCGCAGCGAAAGCGAUAAACACACCGCCUGGGGAGUACGACCGCAAGAUUAAAACUCAAAUGAAUUGACGGGGACCCGCACAAGUAGUGGAGCAUGUGGUUUAAUUCGAAGAUACGCGCAGAACCUUACCAACACUUGACAUGUUCGUCGCGACUCUAAGAGAUUAGAGUUUUCGGUUCGGCCGGACGAAACACAGGUGCUGCAUGGCUGUCGUCAGCUCGUGUCGUGAGAUGUUGGGUUAAGUCCCGCAACGAGCGCAACCCUCACUUUUAGUUGCCAUCAUUUAGUUGGGCACUCUGAAAGAACUGCCAGUGAUAAGCUGAAGGAAGGUGGGGAUGACGUCAAGUCCUCAUGGCCCUUACGUGUUGGGCUACACACGUGCUACAAUGGUAUCUACAACAGGAAGCAAAACUGCGAGGUUAAGCAAAUCCUUAAAAGAUACCUCAGUUCGGAUUGCACUCUGCAACUCGGGUGCAUGAAGCUGGAAUUACUAGUAAUCGUGGAUCAGCGUGCCACGGUGAAUGCGUUCCCGGGUCUUGUACACACCGCCCGUAA